GCCGGGAUGGUGGAAUUGGUAGACACGCGGGUCUUAGAAGCCCGUACCAGUGGUGUGAGGGUUCAAGUCCCUCUUCCGGCACCA
Molecule: transfer RNA, 84 nt
Filed under: Candidatus Peregrinibacteria bacterium
Lineage: Bacteria; Candidatus Peregrinibacteriota
Also listed under: 1 other name
Description: tRNA-Leu
Rfam family: tRNA
About the family: Transfer RNA (tRNA) molecules are approximately 80 nucleotides in length. Their secondary structure includes four short double-helical elements and three loops (D, anti-codon, and T loops).
Source: RNAcentral